UGAAUACGAGAUGCUACGGCGUCGAAGCAGUCUAUGUCAUACUUCCAAGAAAAGCUCGCACUGUCAUAAACAAAUAAUGCCUGUACCAUAACCGACACAGGUGGGUAGGUAGAGUAUACUAAGGGGCGCGAGAUAACUCUCUCUAAGGAACUCGGCAAAAUGACUCCGUAACUUCGGGAGAAGGAGUGCCUUAUUUAUAAGGUUGCAAUAACAAGAUCCAAGCAACUGUUUAUCAAAAACACAGGUCUCCGCUAAGUCGUAAGACGAUGUAUGGGGGCUGACGCCUGCCUAGUGCCAGAAGGUUAAAGAAGUUGGUUAGCAUUCGCGAAGCUGAUAACUGAAGCCCUGGUGAACGGCGGCCGUAACAAUAACGGUCCUAAGGUAGCGAAAUUCCUUGUCGGGUAAGUUCCGACCCGCACGAAAGGCGUAAUGAUUUGGAUACUGUCUCGGAGAGGGGCUCGGUGAAAUAGACUUGUCUGUGAAGAUGCGGACUACCUGCACCAGGACAGAAAGACCCUAUGAAGCUUUACUGUAACUUGAGAUUGAAAUUGGACUUUACUUGCGCAGUAUAGGUGGGAGGCGUUGAUAAUAUUCUUGCGGGAUUAUUUGAGCCAUCAGUGAGAUACCACUCUUGUAAUGUUAGAUUUCUAACUUUGUAUCAUUAUCUGGUCAAAGGACAGUUUCAGGCGGGCAGUUUGACUGGGGCGGUCGCCUCCUAAACGGUAACGGAGGCGCACAAAGGUUUCCUCUGAACGGGUAGAAAUCGUAUCUAGAGUGUAAAGGCAUAAGGAAGCUUGACUGUGAGACCUACAAGUCGAGCAGGGACGAAAGUCGGUCUUAGUGAUCUGACGGUGCUGAGUGGAAAGGCCGUCACUCAACGGAUAAAAGUUACUCUAGGAUAACAGGCUGAUCUCCCCCAAGAGUUCACAUCGACGGGGAGGUUUGGCACCUCGAUGUCGGCUCAUCGCAUCCUGGGGCGGUAGUACGUCCCAAGGGUUGGGCUGUUCGCCCAUGAAAGCGGUACGCGAGCUGGGUUCAGAACGUCGUGAGACAGUUCGGUCCAUAUCCGGUGUAGGCGUUAGAAUAUUGAGAGGAGCCUUCUUUAGUACGAGAGGACCGAGAAGGACAUACCUCUGGUGUACCAGUUAUCGUGCCAACGGUAAACGCUGGGUAGCUAUGUAUGGAGUGGAUAACCGCUGAAAGCAUCUAAGUGGGAAGCCCACCUCAAGAUAAGUAUUCUC
This 1241-nucleotide ribosomal RNA is filed under the name metagenome. Its description in RNAcentral is "bacterial LSU rRNA". It matches the Rfam family "Bacterial large subunit ribosomal RNA", at positions 1564 to 2815 of the family's 2925-position model. The record is from RNAcentral.